This is a long non-coding RNA of Contarinia nasturtii (swede midge), 698 nucleotides long. RefSeq lists it as uncharacterized. The transcript is spliced from 2 exons. The record is from RefSeq and is a predicted model, not a curated record. NCBI's taxonomy places the organism in Eukaryota, Metazoa, Arthropoda, Insecta, Diptera, Cecidomyiidae.
GUUUUGUUACGCGAACCAUUAUACACUUUUGUCGCGGUUUCAAUUUUCUAUUCAUAGUGUGAUCAAAUACAUACACUCAUAGGCGCUUUUUCCAUGGUUGUUUUUUUAUAAGAACUUGGCAUUGAAUGAAUAAAUAAAAGAGCAUUUCUUGAAAAAACAGCUUUUUCGAAUUUUGUAGAAAAAUUCACGCGUGUUCACGUAUUAAUAAAAUAGAGUCUGUUAUGAGUUCGAUGUAAACAUAUUUUUGCUGAAAAACAAACUUACGUAAUUGCUGUUUUACGUAAGUUUCAAAACAAGUUCAUUUGGUAUAAAAAGGUGUUCAAAUUUUAAAUGAACAUUGUACUCUCAAAGCUUUUAUUCAAAUAAGUCAAAGGAAGGACAAGACAACAUGAAAUUAUCUCGAAUUUUCGCCGUGGUUUUUGGAAUUUUUGCAGUUUUGGCCGGCGCUGAAGAAACGUCAACAUCUUCAAGCAUCUCAUCAUGUGAGCACGCCAAGUGUACCGCAAGCGCAUCAGCUUCAGCUGGAAAAUAGAUAUUAGUCCUUUGCUAAAAUGAUUUUAAACCAAUUACAAACUUUACACUGCAGACUAUCCUACUGAUGUUUUAUGGUGAGCUAUUUAAAUUAAAUGAGCAAUAUGCAUUUAAAAUACAAAUCUUAUGAACAUAAUCGUCCGGAAUAAAUGAAUAGAUUCAGCGUA